Molecule: transfer RNA, 82 nt
Filed under: Nephila pilipes (giant wood spider)
Lineage: Eukaryota; Metazoa; Arthropoda; Arachnida; Araneae; Nephilidae
Rfam family: tRNA
About the family: Transfer RNA (tRNA) molecules are approximately 80 nucleotides in length. Their secondary structure includes four short double-helical elements and three loops (D, anti-codon, and T loops).
Source: Rfam by way of RNAcentral
GCAGUCGUGGCCGAAUGGUUAAGGGGAUGGACUCGAAAUCUAUUGGGGAUUCCCCGCGUAGGUUCGAAUCCUACCGGCUGCC